AAUAGAUACCCAGGUAGUCCACGCCGUAAACGGUGGGCACUAGGUGUGGGCGACAUUCCACGUCGUCCGUGCCGCAGCUAACGCAUUAAGUGCCCCGCCGUGGGGAGUACGGCCGCAAGGCUAAAACUCAAAGGAAUUGGACGGGGGCCCGCACAAGCGGCGGAGCAUGUGGCUUAAUUCGACGCAACGCGAAGAACCUUACCAAGGCUUGACAUACACCGGAAACGUCCAGAGAUGGGCGCCCCCUUGUGGUCGGUGUACAGGUGGUGCAUGGCUGUCGUCAGCUCGUGUCGUGAGAUGUUGGGUUAAGUCCCGCAACGAGCGCAACCCUUGUCCCGUGUUGCCAGCAGGCCCUUGUGGUGCUGGGGACUCACGGGAGACCGCCGGGGGUCAACGUCGGAGGAAGGUGGGGACGACGUCAAGUCAUCAUGCCCCUUAUGUCUUGGGCUGCACACGUGCUACAAUGGCUGGUACAAUGAGCUGCGAUACCGCGAGGUGGAGCGAAUCUCAAAAAGCCGGUCUCAGUUCGGAUUGGGGU
Molecule: ribosomal RNA, 538 nt
Filed under: uncultured bacterium
Lineage: Bacteria
Description: bacterial SSU rRNA
Rfam family: Bacterial small subunit ribosomal RNA
Source: RNAcentral